RNAcentral lists this ribosomal RNA (1853 nucleotides) under Triticum aestivum (bread wheat). RNAcentral's name for it is "partial small subunit ribosomal RNA". The record is from RNAcentral. Lineage: Eukaryota; Viridiplantae; Streptophyta; Magnoliopsida; Poales; Poaceae.
GCCCGAGAAAACUUGCUUUUAAAGACUCAGAGACCAUCUUCUUCGGUGCGUCGGGGUGGCAAAGGGGGGAACGCAUAUAUGGAUUUAGUGUUUAGGUGGCAUAGUAGGGAUAGGAGUGGCACGCGGCGGGCGGAGAUGGGUAGGUAGGCGGCGGUGUCGGUACAGCCGCAGUGGCCGGUAGCGGAGAGAUGGUGGAGGGAGAGGGGGGAUGUCUUUGAGGAACGGAGUGGGGUGGCUUCCUUGGAGGAGAGGAGUGGGCACACGGCGGACGGAGAUGAGUCGAGCGGUGGCGGCCGUGGGGCAGUGGCCGUGGCGGGUGGCGGCGGCCGUGCGGCAGUGGCUGUGGCGGGUGGCGACGGAGUGGUGGGGUAGCUGCGGCUGGGGAAGUGCAACAAACUAAGUGCCCAAUCCACUACCCCUAGCUAACCUCGACGGCGCACUCCUUACUUUAAUCUAGAUGACGUACGAAGUAGUUGCUGACGGUUCACUACUCUAGAUGCCUGGGUAAGAGAAGAGUACUGGUGUUGUGCAGACGUACUCUUCUGUCCAAACUCAAGUCCAGCAACUGGUCCUGUUUGUCGUCCGGCCUGUUAUUAUUGAAAGGGGGAGUCCUUCUCGAAGAACCUGAACUGGGGUCUCUAUCGUUGUAAAGACAACAAACACCCGUACAACCCCAACAUUAAAAUGAUGAGGAAAGUGUACAAUAAUCGUGAAAGUCAAUGGCGUGUAAAAGAUGGUAUAUACAUCGACUUUUAAACAAAGGUAGUAUACAGUGUAGAAUAUACGGAUCACCUCCCUUGUUUUCAUUUAGGUUUUCGAGGAAAGUGUUAUCGAGUCGAUACUUAUCACCAAAUUUAAGAACAUCAUAGAAGUGUAGAUAACGUGCUUUCUUUAAAGUGAAAUGUAAAUACUAAAACUACAUACCAUAUAUUUACCGUAGGGAAAAAUUAAAAACAUACAACGUACUCCGAACGGACAACGGUGAAAUGAAACUUUAUGUUGUCAUUCGAUAAUAUACGCAUAAAAAGUCGAGUUGAGAAUUUAAAGUGAAUAAAAUCUGUUUGUAUCAUUUUGGAUGAUUUGUCUAAGUAUAGUACGUAUUAUUAUAAAAGAGAUCAAGAAACAGAUUUGGUAAAAUGUAAACUAACACGAAUAUAUAACAGUUGAUAAUUUAGUCCCAGAGUCCAUCUAAUAUUCCAAUUCCAAACUAGAGUGGACUACUUCAGACUGGUCUCAAGAUCUAAGAAACGAGACAAAUUAGUUGGUUCACUAUCUGAACGAUAAGUGAUUCUACAACUUAUUUUAUCCGAACCGAAAUACUUAAAACUUACCCUUUUACUACAUGACCUAUAUCGAUAUCAUACAGACACUAUGACUCUGGUGAAUGCGAACCCGCGUGUCGCUCAAAGACGUUCAAGAACAUGGAAAAUGGAAGAUGUUUAUACACGGCGAAACAAUAAAACGUGAAAAAUGAAACGCCCUUAAUUGUAUUACACGUUUUGAGAAUGGUCCACUGGGAACUACCAUACAAGUAAACGGAGAACAACGACAUGACAAGUUUACGCGGCUCCGGGUUCCCGCUUCUUCUGGUUUCCGAUACCUACCCAAAAUAACACAGAAAACCGUUGUCAUCUCUCAUCUCAUCAUACUAGAUCUAUACCAUCUCAUAAUAGAAAUCCUUGAACACACCUGUAUAAACAGCUACCUUGAACGUUAGUGUAUACACUUUAAAUUGGUCUAUACGAUGUAUCCACUUGGAUCUAAACAUGUGCCGACUCAAACGAUACUUAAUACACUACGAUUCGUGUGUACACCUUGUAUCAAAGUUACGAAUUAAAGACAGGGUUCGUUUG